This 433-nucleotide ribosomal RNA is filed under the name uncultured bacterium. RNAcentral describes it as "partial 16S ribosomal RNA". It matches the Rfam family "Bacterial small subunit ribosomal RNA", at positions 29 to 507 of the family's 1533-position model. The record is from RNAcentral.
AACGAACGCUGGCGGCAUGCCUAACACAUGCAAGUCGAACGAGACCUUCGGGUCUAGUGGCGCACGGGUGCGCAACGCGUGGGAAUCUGCCCUUGGGUUCGGAAUAACAGUUGGAAACGACUGCUAAUACCGGAUGAUGACGUAAGUCCAAAGAUUUAUCGCCCAAGGAUGAGCCCGCGUAGGAUUAGCUAGUUGGUGAGGUAAAGGCUCACCAAGGCGACGAUCCUUAGCUGGUCUGAGAGGAUGAUCAGCCACACUGGGACUGAGACACGGCCCAGACUCCUACGGGAGGCAGCAGUGGGGAAUAUUGGACAAUGGGCGAAAGCCUGAUCCAGCAAUGCCGCGUGAGUGAUGAAGGCCUUAGGGUUGUAAAGCUCUUUUACCCGGGAUGAUAAUGACAGUACCGGGAGAAUAAGCUCCGGCUAACUCCGUG